This 454-nucleotide unclassified non-coding RNA is filed under the name uncultured fungus. Its description in RNAcentral is "partial contains small subunit ribosomal RNA, internal transcribed spacer 1, and 5.8S ribosomal RNA". The stretch from base 1 to 73 matches the Rfam family "Eukaryotic small subunit ribosomal RNA", at positions 1759 to 1831 of the family's 1831-position model. The record is from RNAcentral. Lineage: Eukaryota; Fungi.
GCAAACUUGGUCAUUUAGAGGAAGUAAAAGUCGUAACAAGGUUUCCGUAGGUGAACCUGCGGAAGGAUCAUUACAAAUCCAUCACGUCUCCUUAACACCGAGACCACGUUGAACUGUUUUACUUGUUGACCUCCUCCUCGUGGAUGCGCCCGGCAACAACCAUAUAUAUAUGUGUCCCCUACAAUAUACACACGCCACUACUCGUGGCGUGUGGUGGGGUGAUACUGGUGGUGCGCGCUGGUGCGGUCUUCGUGGAGUGUCAAUAUGUCUAAACUAGUAUCUUCCAGUAGCACAAAUGUAUCUGAGAAGGAGGAUAUGUGUGUGGAGAGAGAGAGAAGGGACUCAAGUUACUUGCGAACCUUCCUUUCCCGAUCCUCAUUCCCCUUCGCAAAACAACUGAUACACAACUUAUAACAAUGGAUCUCUAGGCUCUUGCAUCAAUGAAGAACGCAGC